CGCGACCCCAGGUCAGGCGGGGCUACCCGCUGAGUUUAAGCAUAUCAAUAAGCGGAGGAAAAGAAACUAACGAGGAUUCCCCUAGUAACGGCGAGCGACGGGGGAAAUUUUCAA
RNAcentral lists this ribosomal RNA (114 nucleotides) under Acacia synchronicia. Its description in RNAcentral is "partial large subunit ribosomal RNA". It matches the Rfam family "Eukaryotic large subunit ribosomal RNA", at positions 1 to 112 of the family's 3401-position model. Lineage: Eukaryota; Viridiplantae; Streptophyta; Magnoliopsida; Fabales; Fabaceae. The record is from RNAcentral.